This is a long non-coding RNA of Sebastes umbrosus (honeycomb rockfish), 152 nucleotides long. RefSeq lists it as uncharacterized. The record is from RefSeq and is a predicted model, not a curated record. The transcript has 3 exons. NCBI's taxonomy places the organism in Eukaryota, Metazoa, Chordata, Actinopteri, Perciformes, Sebastidae.
AAAGAGAGAGUCGGACACAGGGUCGGCGCCAGAGUGUUAGGGGCGGACGGGCAAUCAGCUUUGACAGGAGGGGCAUUUUUUUCACCUCAUAUAGCCUUUUUUAAGUGUAUCUUUAACAUUAUCAUGUUUCAUGAAAGAAAUAAACUGACAGA